This 250-nucleotide ribosomal RNA is filed under the name uncultured bacterium. RNAcentral describes it as "partial 16S ribosomal RNA". It matches the Rfam family "Bacterial small subunit ribosomal RNA", at positions 524 to 772 of the family's 1533-position model. The record is from RNAcentral.
GACAGAGGCCUCAAGCGUUUAGGCGGAAUCACUGGGCUUAAAGCGUGUGUAGGCGGGUCGUUAAGUACCUUGUGAAAUCCCACGGCUCAACCGUGGAACUGCUUGGUAUACUGGGUAUCUUGAGCCACUUAGGGGCAACCGGAACAAACGGUGGAGCGGUGAAAUGCGUAGAUAUCGUUUGGAACGCCAAUGGUGAAAACAGGUUGCUGGGACGUUACUGACGCUGAGACGCGAAAGCGUGGGGAGCAAA